GUAGUCCAUGCCGUAAACGAUGUCAACUAGCCGUUGGGCCCCUUGAGGGCUUAGUGGCGCAGCUAACGCGAUAAGUUGACCGCCUGGGGAGUACGGUCGCAAGACUAAAACUCAAAUGAAUUGACGGGGGCCCGCACAAGCGGUGGAGCAUGUGGUUUAAUUCGAUGCAACGCGAAGAACCUUACCUAGCCUUGACAUGUCUGGAAUCUUGUAGAGAUACGAGAGUGCCUUCGGGAAUCAGAACACAGGUGCUGCAUGGCUGUCGUCAGCUCGUGUCGUGAGAUGUUGGGUUAAGUCCCGCAACGAGCGCAACCCUUUUCCUUAUUUGCCAGCACUUCGGGUGGGAACUCUAAGGAUACUGCCAGUGACAAACUGGA
Molecule: ribosomal RNA, 377 nt
Filed under: uncultured bacterium
Lineage: Bacteria
Description: bacterial SSU rRNA
Rfam family: Bacterial small subunit ribosomal RNA
Source: RNAcentral